CAGCAGCCGCGGGAAUACGUAGGGCGCAAGCGUUAUCCGGAAUUAUUGGGCGUAAAGAGCUCGUAGGCGGUUUGUCGCGUCUGCCGUGAAAGUCCGGGGCUCAACCCCGGAUCUGCGGUGGGUACGGGCAGACUAGAGUGAUGUAGGGGAGACUGGAAUUCCUGGUGUAGCGGUGAAAUGCGCAGAUAUCAGGAGGAACACUGAUGGCGAAGGCAGGUCUCUGGGCAUUAACUGACGCUGAGGAGCGAAAGCAUGGGGAGCGAACAGGAUUAGAUACCCGCGUAGUCCCUGUCUCUUAUAC
Molecule: ribosomal RNA, 301 nt
Filed under: uncultured bacterium
Lineage: Bacteria
Description: partial 16S ribosomal RNA
Rfam family: Bacterial small subunit ribosomal RNA
Source: RNAcentral